This 73-nucleotide transfer RNA is filed under the name Cordylochernes scorpioides. RNAcentral's name for it is "tRNA-Thr". It matches the Rfam family "tRNA". Rfam says of the family: Transfer RNA (tRNA) molecules are approximately 80 nucleotides in length. Lineage: Eukaryota; Metazoa; Arthropoda; Arachnida; Pseudoscorpiones; Chernetidae. The record is from RNAcentral.
UCCAGGGUAGCCUAGUGGACAUGGCAUCUGCCCGGUAAGCGGAACACUGUGUGUUCGAAUCCCAUCCCUGGAC